AGUCCCAAACCACUGAUUUAUCAUGACAUUUUAUACAUUUGCCUUUUAGAUUCUGUAGGAAGUGAAAAGUAGAGUUACAAACCAAAAGUACAAUAGUGGUGUGCCUACUUUUGAUAUCAAUUUUCUCUCCCUUCUGCUUUCAGUCACCUGUUAUCCCAGUCUGUGUGCCUGGUUCUAAAAAUGGUCUCUCUACUCUUCUAAUUUGCAGUUCUGAUCUGCUGUGGAAUGAAUUCCAAAUUACAAAAUUUGUUGGAUUUGUGCGUAAAUAAAAUCAUAGGAUGCUGACGAAGGGACUGAGAGGCCCAUCUGACUUGCUGCCCUUGGUAAGCCGCUUACUGUAAGUGAGCAUGAAAGCUGCAAAUCACAUUCACCAUUCUAGAAGUAUGCUUUCCUGUUGUGUUGUGCAACUCCAACAGGCGAAUCCAUUUUGUCAAGAGUAGGACCAUAUUCCAGGCUAGAUCCUGGUAAAUGAAUAUAUCACUAGAAGAGGCAGUUGAAAAAGGGAACCGAACACCACUGUUGCCUUGGAGUCGCGGAAAACUUGAUUCAAAUGGGCUUAAAUGAUCAGGUAAUAUAUUAUUCCAUUUAACAAGGCUAGAGGGAGAUUGGUUGCAGGAUUGGUUAAUUCAGGGGCUUAGUAACAUCACGGAGGACCCAGGUUCUGUCAUCUUUCCUCUCUGCUUCCUUCUAUGUGUUGGUGCUACCCCUUAUAGUCCCAAGAUGGCUGCAGCACUUCCAAUCAUCACAAGGUUUCCAGAGUCAGAGAAAAAGAAUGUUUUCUUCUUGCAUGUCUCUUCUUAAUAGCAAGAGAACUGUGCAAGUUUGAAUGUAUUAUGUCCC
Molecule: long non-coding RNA, 840 nt
Organism: Choloepus didactylus (southern two-toed sloth)
Lineage: Eukaryota; Metazoa; Chordata; Mammalia; Pilosa; Megalonychidae
Exons: 3
Source: RefSeq, a predicted model, not a curated record